GACGAACGCUGGCGGCGCGCCUAACACAUGCAAGUCGAGCGAGAACCAUUCCUUCGGGAAUGGGGACAGCGGCGAACGGGUGAGUAACACGUGGGUAAUCUACCCUCGGUCCUGGGAUAGCCCGGGGAAACCCGGAUUAAUACCGGAUAGCCUCUUGAGCCUUCGGGUUCUUGAGAAAAGGUAAGCUUCGGCCUCCGACUGAGGAUGAGCCCGCGGCGGAUUAGCUUGUUGGCGGGGUAACGGCCCACCAAGGCUUCGAUCCGUAGCUGGUCUGAGAGGACGAUCAGCCACACUGGGACUGAGACACGGCCCA
RNAcentral lists this ribosomal RNA (313 nucleotides) under uncultured bacterium. RNAcentral describes it as "bacterial SSU rRNA". It matches the Rfam family "Bacterial small subunit ribosomal RNA", at positions 28 to 333 of the family's 1533-position model. The record is from RNAcentral.